This 1019-nucleotide long non-coding RNA is filed under the name Homo sapiens (human). RNAcentral's name for it is "T cell receptor gamma locus antisense RNA 1". Lineage: Eukaryota; Metazoa; Chordata; Mammalia; Primates; Hominidae. The record is from RNAcentral.
GAAGGGUGGUGCCUGGGAGGACCUGCAGAGGAGCUCCUGCCUCUCUGCUCAGGCCAGUUCUGCAGCACCCUCUGUGGCAGCUGAGAGCAGGCCCUCUGCAGAAGAGAGCCAGGGGCAUGGAGAGUUCAGGCCUCCAGCAGAGGGAGUGCAGAUAUGGGGAAAGCUGACCCCUGGAGUCAGCAGGCCCAGCCCUAGGAGGGGGCAGUCCCACAGCAGGCUCACACCCUGCCCUUCAGAGUUGCAGCAGCUAAUGCUGAUGCCAGGACCUUGUCCUGCCAGGAAGCCUCUGAUUAGGGCUGUGAACCAACUUCCUUUUCACAUCUGCAAGGACACUUGGAGGCAACUGCCCAAGGCCACUCUGAGGAGGGUUGAAUGUUCUUUAUUAAAAGGACUGAGGAUCAUGUGUGUUGGUGGGCCUUGGACUCUGCUCUAAGCUCAAAUUUUGCAGUUUCUGCUGUCAUCACAGCUGGGAAUGAGAAAGGGAAGGGGCUCCAGUUGGUCUCCCUCUGCCUCUGGAGCACACGUGGAGGACAUGAGGCUUCCGCAGGAACAGCUCUGAAAGCUGAGUUCUCGGGUCCCUGUGAAGGAGGGAAGCUUGCCUGCCUUGGAGCGUGAAAAAGUCUUGCUGGACAGAAGUCUCACGGUUUAAAACUGGGAAGGGAGAGGAUUGAGAUCACACUAGAAUGCACAGAAAAUUCUUAAAACAAAAAAAUGAGAGAAACUUCAUCAGAAUGUGAAAAGAACUAUAAAGCUACAGUGCUGAAGAGAGGGCAAUACUGGCACUAGAAUGAGAAGAUUCAUGGAACACAGUGGAAAAUGCAGUAAGAGAGCUGCAUGUAUGUAAUAUUUUAUCAUGUGAUAAAGUGAUAUAUUAAUAUUCACAAGGAAAUAGUCAAUUAUUUAAUAAGUUCUCUUUUUGGUAUUGACUUACUGUAUGGAAACAAAUAUUGUUGCAUUUCUACCUUACUAGUUACAAAUAGUGAUUUAGUUGUAAUAAAAUGAAAAUCAUUAGACUUAAA